This 331-nucleotide ribosomal RNA is filed under the name uncultured low G+C Gram-positive bacterium 307ev. RNAcentral's name for it is "bacterial SSU rRNA". It matches the Rfam family "Bacterial small subunit ribosomal RNA", at positions 9 to 327 of the family's 1533-position model. The record is from RNAcentral. Lineage: Bacteria; Bacillati; Bacillota.
GAGUUUGAUCCUGGUUCAGAACGAACGCUGUUCGGCGGGUUUAGGCAUGCAAGUCGCGCGAGAAAGGGUAACCCGAGUACAGCGGCGUAAGGGUGAGUAAUGGUUAGCUAACGUACCCUUUGGACGCGGAUAAUUCUUCGAAAGGAGUUGUAAUACGCGAUGAGACCACGCGCACUCCGGUGCGAGGGGUCAAAGGCUGGGGAUCCUUCGGGACCCAGCGGCCAAGGGAGCGGGCGAACUCUGAUUAGCUAGUUGGCGGGGUAACGGCCCACCAAGGCGAUGAUCAGUAGCCGGGCUGAGAGGCUGUCCGGCCACACGGGCACUGAGACAC